CUCAGUAUUACAGCCAUAUCAGUACAACAUUUCUCUAUGUUUAGUGGAACAAAAAGACAGGACAUGUCCACUUGAUGAGCAAGGGAAAAUCUAAUGAAAAGCCCCUCUGUAUUCUGGCAAGACAUGCUACAUUAUGCCCUCAUGCAUGUAAGAAACAGUCCACCUGCAUAACUAGACAGAUUAAAAAAUGCUAUGUAAAGCUCAUGGGUUGAGAUAAGGAUAGGGCAACACCUUACCAGUUAUUGUCAUGGCAAAACAGUCUUGUCUUGGAGAAAACUCAGUGAAACACUGGAACAGGUUGCCCUGGGAAGUGGUGAAUGCCCCAUUCUCAGGAACAAUCAAGUGUGGGGUCCCAGUCACAGGAGACAGUUCUUCACAAACUGCUCCCAUGUGGGUCCUCUCCUAGGGGUGCAACCUUUCAGGAACAGUCUACUCCAGAGUGACUACUCACAGCAUCACAAGUAGUGCCAGCAAACCUUCUCCAGCAUGGGCUCAUCAUCACCAGGACCCUGCUCCAUCACUGGCUUCCUCAGGCAUCCCCCUGCUUCAGUGUGGGGUGGUUCCUGGAAUGCAGGUGGAUAUAUGCUGCAGCAUGGACCUCCAUGGGCUGCAGGGGCACAGCUGCCUCACCUGGGCUGCAGGGGAAUCACUGCUCUAUGCCUGAAGAAGCUCCUCAACCUCCUUCUUCACUGAUCUUGUCUGCAGGGCUGUUUCUCACAUGUUCUCUCUCCCAUUUGCUGUUUCACAGCAGUUUUUACCCUUUCUUUUAUAUAUUAUAUUAAAGUGACACUCUUCCCAUCGCUGAGGGGCUCAGCUCUGGCUGGUGUUGGUCUGUCUUGGAGCUUGAGGCAACUACAAGAGGCUCUGUCCAACACAAGAGCAGCUCCUGGUGCCUUCUCACAGAAGCCUUUUGGUAUCGAAACCUUGCCACACAAAAAAAAGCCAGUUAAUGUGGCACAACUCUGUGACACUCAUUAGCUGGAGGGAAACCGAAUUUUCAUCUGGGUUAAAACAUUGAGGAAAAAAAAUCAAACAGGGAUUCUUGUGCCACUCUGCUCUUCACUGGUGUGCCCUCACCUUCAGUCCUCUGUGCAGUUUUGGCCACCACAAUAUAAGAAAGACAUUAAACUAUUAGAGAGUAUCCAAAGGAGGGCAGCAAAUAUGGUGAAGGGACUUGAAGGGAAGCCAUAUGAGGAAUGACUUAACUUGGUCUGUUCAGCCUGGACUAGAGGAGACUGAGGAGAUCUCAUUGCACAGUGAAGAUGCCUUGCAAAGGGUAGAGGAGGGGCAGACACUGAUUUUUUUCUCUGUGAUGCCCAGGGGCAAAAUUCAAGGGAAUGGCCUGAAGUGUCAGGAGAGGUUUAGCUGUGGUUAUUAGGCAAAGAUUCUUCACCAGGAGUGGGGCUGGGUGCUGGAGAAGGUUCCCUAAGGAAUUGGUCACACCAAGCCUGACAGAGUUCAAGAUGUGUUUGGCAAUGUCCUCAGGCACAUGGUGUGCCUCUUGGGGAUGGUGUUGUGCAGGGCCAGGAGUUGGGACUCAAUAGUGCCUUCCAAUUAGUGAUUUUCUGAGAUUCUGAGAUUCUGUGAUUCUGUACAGCAAGAACAUGUGUAAAUUCAUUCCACAUUGAAAUGCAUUCUUAUUCCAUUUCUAAACUUAUGAUUUUCAAAGCAGAGACAAUUUUUAGAUAAAAUUUUAUCAUUAUGAGAGAAAUUAGGAGAGGAAAAAAAGCAAUAUGAAAUUGGUUAUUUAAAUUCCUUUGCUUCUACUGAGAAAUCAAUAUUCUUUAAAAUCAGUUUUAAUAUUGUAUGCCGACACAUUGCCCCAUCCAAAAAUGGGAAUAAAAAUAAAAAUUGCCUGUAUUCUUUAUAUAUACUUAACAGUGUCAGAUUGACCUAGUCUAGCAUUAUUUUGAAACACUAGGCAAGUAAAAAUGAAUGUUUAAUCAAUUAACGUGAUUUGUUCUAUUUAAUUGCACCACUGAUGGUCCUCAGUAUUUCCUGCUGUGCUGGUACAGACAUUUUACACAUUUUCCAUUAAAUCAAUUAAAGGAGUGUAGGGUUAUGGUGAGUUCAUGAGCAGCCUUCUUAGCCCCUUGGUUUGUUGUGACUCAUUCUUUUGUGACUAUAAAACUUGUUUGUAAUGGUGUGCAAAAAUCUAUUGGUUUGCUAGUCAAGGUGAUUUAAAGUAUUGCCUAGCAGUAGAAUUACCCUCUAAGGAAACAAGGAGAGGUGAAAUGGCAAGAAACUCUUUCUUUUUAAAUACUUCCAUCAAAGAAAUUUUGCUUGGCUGCAAGGAGAGUAUGAAAAGAUGUAAAACUGAAUUUGUACAUAAAAACCAAAGACAAAGACUAGGCAUAUUACUUUGUUCCAGCCACAGUGUUUCAGAGGAAACUUUAAAAGCAGCUAUUUAAAUGUACUGAGAAUUAGAAAUGUUUGCUCGAUGCAUUUCCAAUGCAAUCAAAAUUAAGUGUACUCUAUCUGAUGCUCUGCCAGCUUUUAUGUGCUCAAACACUAAUUUUCCAGAAACAGUGAUUGCUUCUUCAUUCAACACUUAGAUUGGACUGUGCUUUGGGGUGGAACUAUGUCACCAAAGGUGGCAAGAGCAUACAGAAUGAAGCAGGAAUUACAAGUAAAGAAGUCAUAGUCUUACACAUAAUUAAGUGCUGCCCUGAAAAACUGCAUGUUUUUCUCUAAAUCUGCCACUGAGAUAAACUGUGUUAUUGGACAAAAAGAUCACCUAAAACUGGGUGCUUGAUAACUUUGUGCUUAUGGUAAGAAUUCUGAACCCAGGCCCUUAAAAUAUCUGUGCAUUGGGAAGAAAAAUGGUCUUGAUUGGUCAAUUUUGAAAAAUAUUUCAGGUUACUUAAAUUAGCCCAAAUUAAUGGCUAAUAUUGUUUUUAGUUUCUUUUUUGUUUGCCCUUUUUAAAAUGGUGAUGUAACAACAAAUACUUGCAAACUGAAAAUAAAGUCAACAGUCCGUAAAGUAUACCAGUAUAAUUCAAUAUCUCCCUAUUUCUUGUGGGAAAUUCAUGCCUAAUCUUAGACAGAUUGUCUCCAUACUUGCUACCCUUGUGUUUAUCACGUUGAAGCAUUUACCUGCUUGGACAGACAGGCAGAUAUCCCACUGCCAUCUCUCACCAGCAAUAAUUUCAAUGUGAAGUACCUAUUUGUGCCAGUGACAAAACCAUCUGUUUCCUUUUGCUAAGAAAGUGACAGUGAUCCCUCUCUGCUGACCAGGGUACCCUCUGAAAUUUUAUUUACAAAUUCAGCCCCUGGUUUCUGACACAAGGAGCUAUAUUUAUAUCACUCUCAUCUGAAAUUCCUGAUUUGUGACUUCACAAUGUCAACACUCCCAGAGAGGGUAGCAGCUUGGGUGAUCUAUCCUUGUUGCUGUGAAAUAGAGGCUUGCAGCUGCCAAGUGUUUAGAGCCAGCCUUCUACAAGUACCCUGGUAUCUAACUAUCCUCAUUUCAACAUUAAAAUCCUUUGGUAAUUUGAGAUAUGAAUGGGAAGAAAACUGCACAGGGAUCAGUGCAAGUAUAUGUCUCCAUUUUGUAGAAGAUUUCAUAGUAAGUAACACAGAACAGAAAAGCAGAUUUUUUCUGUUUGGCACUGAGAAGAUGAGUCUAAUAGUCACCACAGUUGUCAGAUUUUAAUACUAAGAUUAUUUUGUACAUAUGCUAAAUUACUAAUGAAAUUCAGAUUGAAAAUUACUAAAAAAGUCUUAGUUUACCUAGUAAAUAUCUAAAUGUCAGGAUCUUCAGAGUGCUUGAAAGAGCUUAAAAAAUAUCUAGGUUUUUUUUUUAAAGGCUAUCUUGGAGAAGAGAACAAAAAGAAUAUGAGAAAUUGAGUAUUUGGGAGAAAAAACUGAAACAGGAAUUGUUGCAUUUUGUUAGUAAUGAAACCAUAAGACAUUUUCCAAGCACGUUAUCUCUUUUUGCAUUUUAUGUUCUAAAUGCCUAAGAAAACAAUAAAUUGAUUUCAUGUUGUAUUACUGCUGCUCAGCUGUAGGGGAUGGCAUUAAAUCUCAUUAAAGGUAAAAUAAAAUCGAAGUAAUCUGUUUAAAAUGUUGACCACUUAGUUGAAAGGGGAAAGAAAAAUAAGUCCUGAAAGGCCACGAUGUCAGAUACAAAUCCUGCACCGGACAUUUUACUACAAAUUUGUUGUUGAUGUAAACAAUCUCUUUCCAAUGCUGCUCAGUUGGAAAAUUAUGUUCAGGGUCCAGUGAGAUAGAAGUAUGCUUUUUAGUCAACCAUUUUAGUGGAGAAAAUGGACAGUGUAUCCAUAUUCAGUCCCUGACAUGCUGAUUUCUGCACAUACUGAUCAAAAAUGGGACAUCUGUUUCUGUAUUUGUUCCAAUAUUGCUCACAGGUAAAUAUAAUGUCCAUGGUAAUGAAUUUCUUUAGAAUAACUACCAUGCCUUUGAAUUUGUACUUGACAGUUACAUUGAUGAUAUGUUGUUUUAAGUCCAUCCACGAUGAAAUUUUCAAUCUGAAUUUUAACAUAAAGCAGAAAAAGCCAAUGGCAACUCCAAUAUAAGGUUCUGUUUUUUCAUUAUAAAAAACACCGAAUGACAGAUACUUGGAACUUUAGUUUCAAAGUAUUAACUGGCUUACUUGCUUGGAGGAAGAAUCUCGAAUGACCUCCAAUGCCUUAAACUAAGAACUGUCAUCUACAACCUGCCUUGGACCAGUCCCAUUCAGUGCCUUAUUAACAACCUAGAUAAUGUAAUAAAGUGUCAACUAGAUGGACAUUUCUUGAUAUUCAACAGAGUGGUCAGUGAGAUAAACUCAGCUUUAUAAAACUGCAUUACCUUAGGUAGGAGGUGAAAACCAAAGCACAGAUAUGGAGGAAGCAGCACAGCAGGGAAGAAUCUACUGUAAUGAAUAACAGACAAGGGAAUGUCACUACCAUCCCCUUUCCUAAACCUGCUAAUUAACACUUUAGCAUGAGAACUUCACAUACACUUAAAGGAAGGUCUAGAGGAGGUGAGAAAAAUCUAUGAGCCACAAAAAUGUAAGAGAAAAAAGUGCAGGGAUAUUAUCAGGUUGUAUGAUUUUUACUGAUGGCUAUUUCAAAAGCUGUCUAGCAAAAGAAAAGAGAGGAAUAUAAUUUCACCAAAAAAAAAAAAAAAU
Molecule: long non-coding RNA, 5134 nt
Organism: Zonotrichia albicollis (white-throated sparrow)
Lineage: Eukaryota; Metazoa; Chordata; Aves; Passeriformes; Passerellidae
Source: RefSeq, a predicted model, not a curated record